GUGUUUUGCUUCAGCAACACAUACACUAAAAUUGGAAUAAUACAGAAAUUAGCACAGCCCUUGCACAAGGAUGACAUGCAGAUUUUUUUCUUUUUAGUGGUUUUU
Small nuclear RNA from Antechinus flavipes (yellow-footed antechinus), 105 nucleotides. The record is from RefSeq and is a predicted model, not a curated record. NCBI's taxonomy places the organism in Eukaryota, Metazoa, Chordata, Mammalia, Dasyuromorphia, Dasyuridae.